RNAcentral lists this ribosomal RNA (552 nucleotides) under uncultured bacterium. RNAcentral describes it as "partial 16S ribosomal RNA". It matches the Rfam family "Bacterial small subunit ribosomal RNA", at positions 355 to 893 of the family's 1533-position model. The record is from RNAcentral.
UGGGGAAUAUUGCACAAUGGGCGCAAGCCUGAUGCAGCCAUGCCGCGUGUGUGAAGAAGGCCUUCGGGUUGUAAAGCACUUUCAGCGAGGAGGAAGGUGGUGAACUUAAUACGUUCAUCAAUUGACGUUACUCGCAGAAGAAGCACCGGCUAACUCCGUGCCAGCAGCCGCGGUAAUACGGAGGGUGCAAGCGUUAAUCGGAAUUACUGGGCGUAAAGCGCACGCAGGCGGUUUGUUAAGUCAGAUGUGAAAUCCCCAGGCUCAACCUGGGAACUGCAUUUGAAACUGGCAAGCUAGAGUCUCGUAGAGGGGGGUAGAAUUCCAGGUGUAGCGGUGAAAUGCGUAGAGGAUCUGGAGGAAUACCGGUGGCGAAGGCGGCCCCCUGGACGAAGACUGACGCUCAGGUGCGAAAGCGUGGGGCAGCAAACAGGAUUAGAUACCCUGGUAGUCCACGCUGUAAAACGAUGUCGAUUUUGGAGGUUGUGCCCCUUGAGGCGUGGCUUCCGGAGCUAACGCGUUAAAUCGACCGCCUGGGGGAGUACGGCCGCAAGG